This 566-nucleotide ribosomal RNA is filed under the name uncultured Serratia sp. Its description in RNAcentral is "bacterial SSU rRNA". It matches the Rfam family "Bacterial small subunit ribosomal RNA", at positions 771 to 1337 of the family's 1533-position model. Lineage: Bacteria; Pseudomonadati; Pseudomonadota; Gammaproteobacteria; Enterobacterales; Yersiniaceae. The record is from RNAcentral.
AACCGGAUUAGAUACCCUGGUAGUCCACGCUGUAAACGAUGUCGAUUUGGAGGUUGUGCCCUUGAGGCGUGGCUUCCGGAGCUAACGCGUUAAAUCGACCGCCUGGGGAGUACGGCCGCAAGGUUAAAACUCAAAUGAAUUGACGGGGGCCCGCACAAGCGGUGGAGCAUGUGGUUUAAUUCGAUGCAACGCGAAGAACCUUACCUACUCUUGACAUCCAGAGAACUUUCCAGAGAUGGAUUGGUGCCUUCGGGAACUCUGAGACAGGUGCUGCAUGGCUGUCGUCAGCUCGUGUUGUGAAAUGUUGGGUUAAGUCCCGCAACGAGCGCAACCCUUAUCCUUUGUUGCCAGCGGUUCGGCCGGGAACUCAAAGGAGACUGCCAGUGAUAAACUGGAGGAAGGUGGGGAUGACGUCAAUCAUCAUGGCCCUUACGAGUAGGGCUACACACGUGCUACAAUGGCGUAUACAAAGAGAAGCGACCUCGCGAGAGCAAGCGGACCUCAUAAAGUACGUCGUAGUCCGGAUUGGAGUCUGCAACUCUGACUCCAUGAAGUCGGAAUCGAAA